AUCGUGUUUGAGCCCAAUUCCCGCCCCCCCCCCCCCUCCCAGGCCAGAGCUGACCUGAUGUGGUCUGGGUCAGUUACAUUCUCUGACCCUGAAUUUGGACUUGAAGGACGGAGGCAAGGUCUUCUGGUUACAGAAGCUGAGGGCAGAUGACAUUGUGAGUUGUGAGGCAAUCAUGCACAGAGCAGGAGACGAAGGUGACCCACAGAGAAUGAGAAGAGAAAAGAGAAGGCAGGGAAGCAGGGACAAGGAGCCCCGGGUCCAAGAGAGGAGGUGCCUGACGGGACAGCUGCCCCGGACCAAAAGCGUUCUGGUCUUUCCUGAAGCCCCCAAAACUCGAUCCUUGGAGUCCACGAGAUGAGACGAGUGAGGCCCUGAAGAAGAAAAGUGAUGUUUGGCAGGUGGUAUGUGGGCAGGGCAGGGGGGCCCCCAGAACCUGCGGUUUUCUUUGAACAACCAAGUCAACAAACGCAUGGGUCUAGAUCCCCCAGGGGCCCUUCCUCGGGACUAUGCCGUGACCCUGACUUCCCAGUGAGUAACUCGGUCUGCACAGCAGAGCUGCAGACCCCACGCCUUCGAAUCGGAGAAACUUGCUCCAAACUCCAACUCUACCACUUAGCAGAGGGAUGGCCCUUUACUUCAAGCACUCGGAACCUCGGUUUCCUCAUCUGCCAAACAGGGACGGUGUGGUGAUGCACCACAUAUGCUGUUAAAAUCAAAGAAUGCACGCAAAGGGCUUGGCAUAAAACUUGGCACACAGCAGAGUCAGGGCACAAGCAAGAGUCAAGAAACACAGCCUAUUACCUGUGAAAGAAAUCCAAAUACGUUUACCAUUUGUCCCAAGGACCCUCCUACGCAAGAUACUGUCCAACCACACAAACAGUUUUUGUGUUGGGUGAAGUGAAAGUGGAAAGGUGGGGACGUGGCAAACUGUGGACAAGUGGAGGCGGAGGGUGAAGUCAGGAGAGAGGCAAAUGACCUUAAUCGCCUACGCCCUCUAUCUGUUAUUAGAAAGUAGCGGGGAGACCCAACCAG
Leopardus geoffroyi (Geoffroy's cat) is the source of this 1032-nucleotide long non-coding RNA. RefSeq lists it as uncharacterized. The record is from RefSeq and is a predicted model, not a curated record. The transcript has 2 exons. NCBI's taxonomy places the organism in Eukaryota, Metazoa, Chordata, Mammalia, Carnivora, Felidae.